GCGAGGGCGUGCCCCUCCCGCACCCCCUCCCCGCGCAGACGCUACCCGCGGGCCAGGCGCGCCACCUGGUGGCCGCAAGGGGGAAGAGUCCGGGCGAAGGGCCCGCACCGCCCCUGGCGCCGCGGAGAUGCGGCCCUCCCGCCUUCUUCCUGAGCGAUUCUCACCGCCACGGCUCACCCUGCUGAUUGCACAAAACGCCAGCCGCCUCCCUGCCUCCCCCCAGUGGCAAACCCAUAAGUAGUGAGUUGUGUGGAGACGUGACAUCCGGCUCUGCGCUGUGACCGUGAGACACACUUGGAUCUGCGUGUCUGUUUCUUCAGUUUAAACUCCGUCCUAAUUCGAGGGGAAAAUAUAUCACAAGCCUACGACCUUGGAAGUUUCCCUUUUUUCUCCUGCAUCUCCCCCUCAUUCUCUGCCUCAAGAUAGUUUCUUGCAUCCUGGCAGCACCUACUUAGGCUAGUAACCCCCGAGUCAAACCGUUCUCUCUCUGUCGGGGAACGGAAGUGAGGCCCUCGCUUGAACAGCCACUCUUCGUAAAUCGCCUGUUUGGCAUUCUUGAGUUUGAUUAACAAAGAAUAGAUUAUCAGGUCGCCUGGGUGGCUCAGUUGGUUAAGCACCUGCCUUUGGCUCAGGUCAUGAUCCCAGGGUUCUGGGAUGGAGCCCCAUGUUGGGCUCCUCCUCUGGGAGUCUUCUCCUUCUCCCUCUGUCUCUCCACUGCUUGUGCUCUGUGUGUGUGUGUGUGUCUUGCAAAUAAAUAAAUAAAAUAUUCUUAAAAUUUAAAACAUUAAAUAUUAAAAAUACAUUAUCAUGUUUUCUAAUUAGAUCUGUGUUAUAUUAAUAAACAAAUUGAGAACUUUUAAAAA
Mustela lutreola (European mink) is the source of this 863-nucleotide long non-coding RNA. RefSeq lists it as uncharacterized. NCBI's taxonomy places the organism in Eukaryota, Metazoa, Chordata, Mammalia, Carnivora, Mustelidae. The transcript has 2 exons. The record is from RefSeq and is a predicted model, not a curated record.